Molecule: ribosomal RNA, 492 nt
Filed under: uncultured bacterium
Lineage: Bacteria
Description: partial 16S ribosomal RNA
Rfam family: Bacterial small subunit ribosomal RNA
Source: RNAcentral
AGUGAACGCUGGCGGUAGGCCUAACACAUGCAAGUCGAACGGCAGCACAGUAAGAGCUUGCUCUUACGGGUGGCGAGUGGCGGACGGGUGAGGAAUACAUCGGAAUCUACUUUUUCGUGGGGGAUAACGUAGGGAAACUUACGCUAAUACCGCAUACGACCUACGGGUGAAAGCAGGGGAUCUUCGGACCUUGCGCGAUUGAAUGAGCCGAUGUCGGAUUAGCUAGUUGGCGGGGUAAAGGCCCACCAAGGCGACGAUCCGUAGCUGGUCUGAGAGGAUGAUCAGCCAAACUGGAAAUGAGACACGGGCCAGACUCCUACGGGAGGCAGCAGUGGGGAAUAUUGGACAAAGGGCGCAAGCCUGAUCCAGCCAUACCGCGUGGGUGAAGAAGGCCUUCGGGUUAUAAAGCCCUUUUGUUGGGAAAGAAAAGCAGCAGGUUAAUACCCCGCUGUUCUGACGGUACCCAAAGAAUAAGCACCGGCUAACUUCGUG